AUGAAAGUAAGCGUUGGACACCAGCCAAAGGGUCAGCUAUGGCUGGUCUUAGCCGUGCUGGUUGCCUUUGCAAUGCUCAGUGAGGCAGCCAGAAGCUUGCCACCACCUUCUCUUUCAGCAUCGCCAACGUAUGCUCCUAUCAUUAAGGUGAUAGGCAAAGCAUACUGCUAUAGAUGCUUCAAUGAGGCACACCCAGAAGAAUCGCAUGGGAAGGAGCACCUGGAAGGAGCCAUGGUCAAGGUCACUUGCCAGGCCAAUGACCAAGCAAUAGUGAGAUUUGGCUACACCGAAAGCAAUGGCAAAUACAGUGUGGCCAUUACCGGGUUGCCACUUAGCGGCACCUUUGGGGCUGACUCGUGCAAGGUUGAGCUCCAUGCAGCAGCAGGAGGAUCUGACUGCAAUGUGCCCAUGGAGUUAAAUCUCUCUGGAGUUAGCGUUUACUCAAAGUCCAAUGAAGAAGUGGUUCUCCAAGCCAACCAAGUAAUGGCAUUUGGAUCAAAGAAAACAUUUGCUGGAUGUUCAAAACCUCACAUUCUACCAUCGAUGUAUCCAUCUAAUUCACAGCCACUCCCAUACCAUGCCUCACCUCCAUCCAACUACAAAUCCCCACCAUUACUGCACCAGCAUUCACCACCUCCUUCAAACAAGUUUCCACCUCCAUCGUAUCAGUAUCCAUCACCUCCCCAGAACUUCUACUCUUCGCCACCCCCAUCAAACAACUACCAAGCUCCACCAACAUCUAACAAUCCAACACCAACCCACAAGUAUUUAUCACCUCCAUACUACUACAACUCCCCACCUCCAAACAGCCACGUAGCUCCACCGCUGCCAUACCUGCAGUCCCCACCUCCGUACAACUACAAGUCGCCUCUUCUACCAUUGUCACCAGCGCCUCCUCGCCAUUAUAACUCUCGACCUCCAUCUAACUAUGGAUCUUCACCCCCACCUUACCAAUAUUCUCCACCUGUACCACCAAAACAUCUACAACCAAAUGUUCCUCAUGCUAAUCAGCCACCAGCAUCAAUAUCACCACAGCCUCUUUACCCCUACAGCUCUCCACCACCAUAUCUGAACUCGAACCAAUCCCCACCACCACCGAUUCAGCUUCCUCAUGUAAAAUCGCCACAAGUUUCUUCAACAUCUCCACAGCCUCUUUACCCCUAUGGCUCUCCACCAUCAGCAUCAAUAUCUCCACAGCCUCUUUACCCCUACAGCUCUCCACCACCAUAUCUGAGCUCUUACCAAUCCCCACCACCACCGAUUCAGCUUCCUCAUGCAAAAGCGCCACCAGUUCCUUCAACAUCUCCACAGCCUCUGCACCACUACAGCUCUCCACCACCAUCACUUAUGAACUCCCACCAAUCCCCGCCACCACCGAAUCGCCUGUCAUGA
RNAcentral lists this ribosomal RNA (1392 nucleotides) under Triticum aestivum (bread wheat). RNAcentral's name for it is "partial small subunit ribosomal RNA". The record is from RNAcentral. Lineage: Eukaryota; Viridiplantae; Streptophyta; Magnoliopsida; Poales; Poaceae.